This 388-nucleotide ribosomal RNA is filed under the name uncultured bacterium. RNAcentral describes it as "bacterial SSU rRNA". It matches the Rfam family "Bacterial small subunit ribosomal RNA", at positions 29 to 416 of the family's 1533-position model. The record is from RNAcentral.
AUUAAACGCUGGCGGCAUGCCUUACACAUGCAAGUCGAACGGCAGCACGGGGGCAACCCUGGUGGCGAGUGGCGAACGGGUGAGUAAAGCAUCGGAACGUGCCCUGGAGUGGGGGGAUAACGUAGCGAAAGUUACGCUAAUACCGCAUAUUCUGUGAGCAGGAAAGCAGGGGAUCGCAAGACCUUGCGCUCUGGGAGCGGCCGAUGUCGGAUUAGCUAGUUGGUGGGGUAAAGGCCUACCAAGGCGACGAUCCGUAGCGGGUCUGAGAGGAUGAUCCGCCACACUGGGACUGAGACACGGCCCAGACUCCUACGGGAGGCAGCAGUGGGGAAUUUUGGGACAAUGGGCGAAAGCCUGAUCCAGCCAUGCCGCGUGAGUGAAGAAGGCC